This 254-nucleotide ribosomal RNA is filed under the name uncultured bacterium. Its description in RNAcentral is "partial 16S ribosomal RNA". It matches the Rfam family "Bacterial small subunit ribosomal RNA", at positions 524 to 776 of the family's 1533-position model. The record is from RNAcentral.
UACGGGGGGAGCAAGCGUUGUUCGGAUUUACUGGGCGUAAAGGGCGCGUAGGCGGCCAGCGCAAGUCAGUUGUGAAAUCUCCGGGCUUAACUCGGAACGGUCAUCUGAUACUGCGCGGCUAGAGUGCAGAAGGGGCAACUGGAAUUCUCGGUGUAGCGGUGAAAUGCGUAGAUAUCGAGAGGAACACCUGCGGCGAAGGCGGGUUGCUGGGCUGACACUGACGCUGAUGCGCGAAAGCCAGGGGAGCGAACGGG